AAAAAUGAUGAUCUUUUUGCGCAAAUAUAAAUUUCGUACUACCACGUAGAAUGAUGAUAGUGGAUGUCAUCCUUGAACUGAUUUUUUUUUU
Plasmodium ovale wallikeri is the source of this 91-nucleotide non-coding RNA. The record is from Rfam. Lineage: Eukaryota; Apicomplexa; Aconoidasida; Haemosporida; Plasmodiidae.